GAUAACAUUUCAAUCUUAAAAUAUUCUUAGAAAGGAACAGAAGUCCAGCAUCGUCAUGCAGUAUUCUGCUUCUAAUCGUAUUUUCUUGAUAGUAUUAGUUGCAUUUAAUUUUCUUUCCGAUGGAGUUUUCUGCUGCGCGCCAAAUCCUCGGCCGAAUUCCCGUCAAAUACAAAUCCCCGUCAAAUCCCCGGAGAUUAUUACGCCGAAAAAAAAUUAUAAAACAUAUUUCAAUGGACAAUAUCUUCCUAUUGGCAGUUCCGAUAGUUGUCCAAGAAACAUGGAACUCUUUGACGGACCGAACAACCAAGGAUUUUGUGACUGCCUGGACAUUGCUAAUAAUCCAGCAUUUUAUUCAGAUAAAACUGGCGAAUGUUUUUUUCACAACACUCGGGGUCCCUGUUCCGAUGGUGAAUGGUUUGUACUGAAAAAUGGUGAUCCAGUAUGCGAACCCGUUCCGGAAGGAUGUCCAGCUAACGGAAGAUACUUCUACGGAACUCCGGACGAAACGAUGGCCAAACGGUGUUUGAAAUUAUGGGAAGAAGGACCGCCUUGUCUACCUAAUAACUAUUUGCAACUUAGAGAAGGCCCAGAGUUAAAAAUAGUUUGCGAGCCUCUCCUAGAGGGUUUCGGUACUCCAUUAUCUGCUGGAAUGAUGAGUGCGUGCCGGCCGGGCACUCUACGUAAUCGCUCUGGUCAUUGUUCUGGUAGACCAUUCUAUGGUUAGAUCUUUAACUGAAACACAGAAAGACUAGCUGUUGGAUAAUCGAAUGUGAGUUAAAGCUAUUGUUGGAUCGGCAACCAGCAUAUACUAUUUCUUCCUUUGAAAUAUAGUACAUACCGGUAUUUAACUGGUGGUGUGUUGAAUAAACAAUUGAUGCCGUGGAUUUCUCUGGUCAUUUAAUUCUAAAUCACAUAACAGCCUACGCCGGAUUUUUAAAAUACAUUUCAUUACCAUCGGUCAGGCAAGAUAAGUAUUAAACAAUUAACGUUUUAUCCUUUUUUUUUUAUCCCAUCACUUCUUUCGUGACUGGAAGAGAUUUUUGUCGAAUUUUAAAUUUGGGCCCAAGAUGAUUCAGCGCCCAAACAGUGUAGGGAAAGAGAAACCGCACGACCUUGUUUUUUAACCGGCAAAUUAUAUAUCUGAAAGAAUAAAAUACAAAUGAUUUAUUUCCGUACUCUGUUGAUCUUUGCGGUAGCUCCCGUUUCCCUUACUAUACGCGGACGUCGCCCAUGUCGAGUGAGUGCAAUCGUUUCGAGGAAUGUAAAUAUUGGGAGUAUAAUAAUCAUGCAAGUGCAAUUUGAUUAAGCAAUUUCCGCACUUUUGUAUUGGUUAAAUAAAUCUAACUGAAUUUAAGUGGUUUACCACCGUUAUCUGGGUUUCGAAAUUUAUACUGAUACGGAACCCGUUCGGCAUUCUGAUAACUAUUUUCAUAUGCGGUUAUCAAGUCAUCCUGUCACGCCUUUAGACUCAGCUUCAAAAUGGGAUAAAAUGAUACGAGAUUAAGAUAGCAUUUCAAUGUUAGAAACACAAGUCAGUUAUUGCCAUGCAGUCUGAUUUUUCCAAGUGCAUUUUGUUGCUGAUUUUCUUGACAUUAACCAUGGUUGCCUUUAUUUUAAUUUUCAACGAAAUAGUUGGGGGUGUGAACAUUUCACUCAACAAAUACUCAACGCCGUGUGACUCCCACGAAACAUUUUUCGAAGAACGGUGUCUUCGCAUUGGCAGUGUCGAUAGUUGUCCAAGAAACAUGGCACUUUUUGACGGACCCAACAACCGAGGAUUUUGUGACUGCUGGGUCCUUGAUGAUAAGCCAGCAUUUUAUUCAAACGAAACUGGCGACUGUUCGUUGCACAACACUCAGGGUCCCUGCUCCCAUGGUGAAUGGUUUGUACUGAAAAAUGGUACUCCCGAAUGUCAACCCGUUCCAGAAGGAUGUCCAGCUAACGGAAGAUAUUUCUACGGAACUCCAAACGAAACGAUGGCCAAUCAGUGUUGGGAGUUAUUGACACAAGGACCUUGUCGCAAAGGUCAAGUUUUAAAAAUCAAAGAAGGCCUAGACUUAGAGAUAGUUUGCGAUUAUCGCCACGAUGAUUCCAAGAAUGCUGUAUCCGCUGGAAUGCUGGGCAAAUGCCGACCGGGUACUCUACGUGCACGUUCCGGACAUUGUUCUGGUGUAUUCCGCGUCGGUUAGAUCUACAACAACAAAAAAAGUGUUGCGUCAGCAACCAAAAUCAUUUUUAAAUUUUGUUCUUUUUAAAAUAACUAUAUAUGUAACACAAAUCAACAGAUGGUGUAAAUAAACAAUAACUGCCCCUGGCCUUUAAUUCA
RNA transcript from Daphnia pulex (common water flea), 2326 nucleotides. RefSeq lists it as uncharacterized. The transcript is spliced from 3 exons. The record is from RefSeq and is a predicted model, not a curated record. NCBI's taxonomy places the organism in Eukaryota, Metazoa, Arthropoda, Branchiopoda, Diplostraca, Daphniidae.